AGCCCACGAAACCGCAUCCUUCUUCCUCAUCGAUCCUAUCCCUCCCCUCCCCGGCUCCCCCUGGCCAUACGCCCAUACCCAAGAAACACAGCACUUCCCAUCUCAACUCCACUCCACUCCGGUCCGGUCCGGCCGCUAUGGCCACUCCAAGAUUUCUCGCCGUCAUCCUCGUCGCGGCUCUCCUCGCGCUUUCCUUCUCGCAAGGGGCGGUGGUGGUGGUGGAGGGCAGGAAGGUGCAGGUGAUGAGGGCGGUGGGGCGGUGGCGCUCGCCCCUCCGCGGCGUCCGGUUGCAGGAGCAGCAGGAGGGCGGCGGGAUGGUGUCGACGGUGAUGGACUACUCGGAACCCAAGGCCAACACCAACCCCCGCGGCAGCGUGCCCGCCGCGCCGGAGGACCCCACCUCGCCGCCGUGGCACUGAUCGAUCGACGCAUUUGCGUGUAGAGGACGAAAACGCCAGGAGGGAUCCGAACGAACGGCUCUUCUCCCCCCUGUCUUCCGGCGGUAAAUCUUUGAUGAGUUGGUUGAUCUGGAGAAUUGUAUUUAGUGCUUAUGUUUUGAGUUUUUAUCCCUCGAUCUGUACGUUUCCCCCCUGCAUGCUGCCAUCUGUACAACCCAUCUAUGUGUGCUCUGCAAUAAGAUCAUCAACAUUGUGCCAUUGAUGCAUAUAUGGUGGAUGCCCUUCCAUGAA
Long non-coding RNA from Triticum aestivum (bread wheat), 689 nucleotides. RefSeq lists it as uncharacterized. The transcript has 2 exons. NCBI's taxonomy places the organism in Eukaryota, Viridiplantae, Streptophyta, Magnoliopsida, Poales, Poaceae. The record is from RefSeq and is a predicted model, not a curated record.